GAGAAAUACCCAUUGCAGUCUCAUGGCCAGAUGAGCUUGCUUGGAGGUGUGCUGAAAUGCAUAUGUGGUUUUCAUACUCAAAAGAGUACUGCCUCUGCUGCUCCAACACAUGUUGCAACAACCUGCCCCUUCUGUACCUGCUCAGGAGGUGAUGGAGAAGAGACAACCCGAGGCCCAGCCCCAGCCCCCGUCUACUCCACCCGUGGCAUCAAAGAUUUCUCCGCAAUUGUCAAUGUCUAAUUAAAACUAUUCUAACUUAUAUCUUAUUUCUUCCUGUAAAAGUAGCAGAGGGUGGUGGUCAAAAACAGCUUGAACCUGAAAUCUGUAGAGAAAACAAACUGAUUGUACAACAAAGAUAUAGAAAGAUAGUUUGUCAUUGCUUGAAAUCUAAUGUGAUAUACACUAAUGUUCAAAAAAAUGGAAUUGUUAAAAUAUAAAAGCUUCAUAUUAAUCAUAUAUAACAAGAAUUCUAUUGUGUUUGAUUUGCUCAUACACAAAGUAGAUUUUAUUUGAUUUUCUGUGCUGCUCAUGAAACAUUUCUUUAUAUUUUGGGGAAACAGUAAUAACGUUUUCAAAGAUAGAAUAACAUAAAUUAUUCUUUAUUUAUUUAAUUUACCUAUAUUAUUAUGUCACAUUAUUCCAGUUUUUACUGUAUAUUUGACCAAAUAAAUGUAGCCUUCAUAAACAUAAUUAAAACCUAAAAAAAUACAUCGAGCAGAUCCCAAACGUUUGAACAGUAGUGUACAUUUUGCCAUUGUGAACACAGUGUUUUUAAUGAAAUGUUUUUUGUCUUGCCCUUUUUGAGUUCACCAAACCAAGAUUUUCCGGAUCCCACCAUUGCUGCAGCAAAGCCAAAUCUUAGUGUGGCUAGAAGACCAUCACAGGUUGACGUCCAGCCCAGCAGUGUGUAGUGCUUCUACACCAAGCACAGCUCUAAACACAGGACCUUCAAGUUUCUGCCCCCAUCCUCACAUCCACUGCGGCAGUGACCAGCUCCACAGAGCCGUCCAGCAUUGUCUCAACUGCACCUUCUGGGUCAUUGCUGCAAGCUCCAUCAGCUGUUCCACUUCCUCGCCUUUGGGCUGAAACCUUGCCACCAGAGGACCACAUGUGGAUUGCUA
Long non-coding RNA from Danio aesculapii, 1121 nucleotides. RefSeq lists it as uncharacterized. The record is from RefSeq and is a predicted model, not a curated record. NCBI's taxonomy places the organism in Eukaryota, Metazoa, Chordata, Actinopteri, Cypriniformes, Danionidae. The transcript is spliced from 4 exons.